UACGAAGGGGGCUAGCGUUGCUCGGAAUGACUGGGCGUAAAGGGCGCGUAGGCGGAGUGCUUUGUCGGGCGUGAAAUUCCAGGGCUCAACCUUGGGGCUGCGUUCGAGACGGGCAUUCUAGAGUGGAGAAGAGGGCCGUGGAAUUCCCAGUGUAGAGGUGAAAUUCGUAGAUAUUGGGAAGAACACCGGUGGCGAAGGCGGCGACCUGGUCUUUUACUGACGCUGAGGCGCGAAAGCGUGGGGAGCAAACAGG
RNAcentral lists this ribosomal RNA (253 nucleotides) under uncultured bacterium. RNAcentral's name for it is "partial 16S ribosomal RNA". It matches the Rfam family "Bacterial small subunit ribosomal RNA", at positions 524 to 776 of the family's 1533-position model. The record is from RNAcentral.